CACCAGUCGGCGGCGGCGAAGGCCAGCCGGUCGGCGAAGACGUGGACGCCCAUGAACGGUGGUGUGACCAACCAACCGUAUAGGCGAGGACACCAGUCGGCGGCGACGGAGGCAGGCCGGCGGUGAAGUCGUAGACGCCCAACAUCGGCGGCAUAAUAGGCUAGCCGUGUAGGCAGAAACACCAGUCGGCGGCGGCGAAGGCCAGCCGGUCGGCGAAGACGUGGACGCCCAUGAACGGUGGUAUGACCAACCAACCGUAUAGGCAAGGACACCAGUCGGCGGCGACGGAGGCAGGCCGGCGGUGAGGUCGUAGACGCCCAACAGCGGCGGCAUAAUAGGCCAGCCGUGUAGGCGGAGGCACCAGUCGGCGGCGACGGAGGCAGGCCGGCGGUGAAGUCGUAGACACCCAACAGCGGCGGCAUAAUAAGCCAGCCGUGUAGGCGGAGGCACCACUCGGCGGCGGCGAAGGCCAGCCGGUCGGCGAAGACGUGGACGCCCAUGAACGGUGGUAUGACCAACCAACCGUAUAGGCAAGGACACCAGUCGGCGGCGACGGAGGUAGGCCGGCGGUGAGGUCGUAGACGCCCAACAGCGGCGGCAUAAUAGGCCAGCCGUGUAGGCGGAGGCACCAGUCGGCGGCGACGGAGGCAGGCCGGCGGUGAAGUCGU
RNAcentral lists this long non-coding RNA (668 nucleotides) under Oryza sativa (Asian cultivated rice). RNAcentral describes it as "long non-coding RNA (OSAT_LNC001627)". The record is from RNAcentral. Lineage: Eukaryota; Viridiplantae; Streptophyta; Magnoliopsida; Poales; Poaceae.